This 110-nucleotide non-coding RNA is filed under the name Oceanibaculum pacificum. Its description in RNAcentral is "TPP sequence". It matches the Rfam family "TPP riboswitch aptamer (THI element)". Rfam says of the family: Vitamin B(1) in its active form thiamin pyrophosphate (TPP) is an essential coenzyme that is synthesised by coupling of pyrimidine and thiazole moieties in bacteria. The previously detected thiamin-regulatory element, thi box was extended, resulting in a new, highly conserved RNA secondary structure, the THI element, which is widely distributed in eubacteria and also occurs in some archaea. Lineage: Bacteria; Pseudomonadati; Pseudomonadota; Alphaproteobacteria; Rhodospirillales; Oceanibaculaceae. The record is from Rfam by way of RNAcentral.
GCGACAUCCAAGGGGCGCCCCGGCAAGGGGCUGAGAUACCGCUGACGCUGCGGGAACCCUUAGAACCUGAUCCGGGUCGUACCGGCGUAGGGAUGGAAAGGGCCGCACAC